GACGAACGCUGGCGGCGUGCUUAACACAUGCAAGUCGAACGGAAAGGCCCCUUUGGGGGUACUCGAGUGGCGAACGGGUGAGUAACACGUGAGUAACCUGCCCUUGACUUCGGGAUAACUUCAGGAAACUGGGGCUAAUACCGGAUAGGAAUCCUUGCUGCAUGGUGGGGGUUGGAAAGCUUCGGCGGGUUUGGAUGGACUCGCGGCUUAUCAGCUUGUUGGUGGGGUAGUGGCUUACCAAGGCUUUGACGGGUAGCCGGCCUGAGAGGGCGACCGGCCACAUUGGGACUGAGAUACGGCCCAGACUCCUACGGGAGGCAGCAGUGGGGAAUAUUGCACAAUGGGCGGAAGCCUGAUGCAGCAACGCCGCGUGCGGGAUGACGGCCUUCGGGUUGUAAACCGCUUUCAGCAGGGGAGAAGCUUGUGGUGACGGUACCUGCAGAAGAAGCACCGGCUAACUACGUG
This 465-nucleotide ribosomal RNA is filed under the name uncultured bacterium. Its description in RNAcentral is "partial 16S ribosomal RNA". It matches the Rfam family "Bacterial small subunit ribosomal RNA", at positions 28 to 507 of the family's 1533-position model. The record is from RNAcentral.